UACAGAGGUGGCAAGCGUUGUUCGGAAUUACUGGGCGUAAAGGGCGCGUAGGCGGCCCCGUCAGUCCUGUGUGAAAUCCCUCGGCUCAACUGAGGAACCGCACAGGAUACUGCAGGGCUUGAGUUCGGGAGAGGGAAGCGGAAUUCCGGGUGUAGCGGUGAAAUGCGUAGAUAUCCGGAGGAACACCGGUGGCGAAGGCGGCUUCCUGGACCGACACUGACGCUGAGGCGCGAGAGCUAGGGGAGCAAACGGG
Molecule: ribosomal RNA, 253 nt
Filed under: uncultured bacterium
Lineage: Bacteria
Description: partial 16S ribosomal RNA
Rfam family: Bacterial small subunit ribosomal RNA
Source: RNAcentral